GAUGAACGCUGGCGGCGUGCCUAAUACAUGCAAGUCGAGCGAACAGACGAGGAGCUUGCUCCUUUGACGUUUGCGGCGGACGGGUGAGUAACACGUGGAUAAACUACCUAUAAGACUGGGAUAACUUCGGGAAACCGGAGCUAAUACCGGAUAAUAUAUUGAACCGCAUGGUUCAAUAGUGAAAGACGGUUUUGCUGGCACUUAUAGAUGGAUCCGCGCCGCAUUAGCUAGUUGGUAAGGUAACGGCUUACCAAGGCAACGAUGCGUAGCCGACCUGAGAGGGUGAUCGGCCACACUGGAACUGAGACACGGUCCAGACUCCUACGGGAGGCAGCAGUAGGGAAUCUUCCGCAAAGGGCGAAAGCCUGACGGAGCAACGCCGCGUGAGUGAUGAAGGUCUUCGGAUCGUAAAACUCUGUUAUUAGGGAAGAACAAAUGUGUAAGUAACUAUGCACGUCUUGACGGUACCUAAUCAGAAAGCCACGGCUAACUACGUG
Molecule: ribosomal RNA, 497 nt
Filed under: uncultured bacterium
Lineage: Bacteria
Description: partial 16S ribosomal RNA
Rfam family: Bacterial small subunit ribosomal RNA
Source: RNAcentral